Molecule: ribosomal RNA, 685 nt
Filed under: uncultured delta proteobacterium
Lineage: Bacteria; Deltaproteobacteria
Description: bacterial SSU rRNA
Rfam family: Bacterial small subunit ribosomal RNA
Source: RNAcentral
AGAGUUUGAUCAUGGCUCAGAAUGAACGCUGGCGGCGUGCUUAACACAUGCAAGUCGCACGAGAACGUUUCAGCUUGCUGAAACUAGUAAAGUGGCGCACGGGUGAGUAACGCGUGGGUAAUCUACCUCCGAAUUGGGGAUAACAUUGCGAAAGCGAUGCUAAUACCGAAUGACAUCUCAAUAACUCCGGUCUUUGAGAUCAAAGGUGGCCUCUACAUGUAAGCUACUGUUUGAAGAUGAGCCCGCGUACCAUUAGCUUGUUGGUGGGGUAAAGGCCUACCAAGGCUUCGAUGGUUAGCUGGUCUGAGAGGAUGAUCAGCCACACUGGAACUGACACACGGUCCAGACUCCUACGGGAGGCAGCAGCGAGGAAUUUUGCGCAAUGGGGGAAACCCUGACGCAGCAACGCCGCGUGAGUGAUGAAGGCUUUCGGGUCGUAAAGCUCUGUCAAGUGGGAAGAAGUCAUAUGGUGUUAAUACUGCCAUGUGUUGACGGUACCACUGAAGGAAGCACCGGCUAACUCCGUGCCAGCAGCCGCGGUAAUACGGGGGGUGCGAGCGUUAUUCGGAAUUACUGGGCGUAAAGAGCGCGUAGGCGGUCUUUUAAGUCAGGUGUGAAAGCCCGGGGCUCAACCCCGGAAGUGCACUUGAAACUAAGAGACUUGAGUAUGGGAGAGGGAAGUGGA